UGGGGAUUAGGACCGUGAACCCCAUGCUCUGCACACGCUUGGGGCACCUUCCUUCACGAUGUUGACUCUGGAUUGGUGUGAACGGAGGCUUUUGGAAAUGCUGGAGAGUUAAUAUACUGGAGCACAUCCGGCUCCAUGCGAGAAUUUGCUUCUCGAGGCUGCCGUCGGCCGACGCAGAAACCCGACUCUCAUUUUGCUUGAUCGGCCUGUUAUAUAUUCAGCGGGCGGGCGGCAUGUCAGAUGGAUGGAGACACGUGCUUGGAAAAUGACCUGAGUAAUACCGACAGCAGCUCCCUCUCCCUCCUGUGUCCUCCGUGCGGCAUUUUGACCAAGCUUCAACUGUCACCUGCAGUCCGUCAAGUCGGCUCACCCCAACAACCCUGCACGCUAGAAGAGUUAUUUCUGCUUCUGAGCCCACAGACUCGAUUGCUCGUGGCCCGUCGCUUACGUCAACGACGCCAGGAGCUCCACCUGAGUUUGCGGAUCGCAGAUGGAGAGCUCGUUAUGGACAAGGAACGUGUCUACCAACUCUGUGGUAUCAUACUUACCCGAGCGCUUAGUACAGCGUUAUGUAUAUAGUCGCGGCUCGACAGAUACCACCGACGGACUGCUUCUGAUGUGUGGGCCACGCAUGAGGAGAGCGUGCAAUGGAGGCAUGAUAAAUGCUAGCCCUGGUGCUGAACCACUACUUGAGGACGUGAUAAACAUGUCUCCAAUGAGGCGCUCCAUGGGAUCCAACCCGGACGACGUCACACAGAUCGUCCCGCAAGCGGAGAGGUGCAGGGGUAAUCUCAUCCGGUCUCCAACUUCGCACAUCAGCUCCUGACGCUCAGAUGGCUCCGCGCGUGCCCUCUCCCGCUCCCAGCCCUUAAGCGUUCUCCCCGCCGCUAGCGUUUCACAUCCUGGAGACUCGAGUACCUAUCGGAGCCUUUUCUCUAGGCGUAAACAGACAGACACGGAUAAGGACAGACGAUUUAGAAAGCAAAUGGACAAAUGUGAUCCGGAAGAGCACAUCUCUGUUCAGUUGAACUGGAACAUAAAUCAAAUACUACAAUAAACCACUUGGACUUCGGUGAGUGAACAACGGCGGCAGGAUAACUAGACGACGACUGCGGGGAGAGUUGAAAUUGGGAAACUGGAAAAAAAAGGAGCACAGAGGAAAUGUUUUAAGGACCCUGUCCAACCUGAAUCACUUAU
Molecule: RNA transcript, 1197 nt
Organism: Ornithorhynchus anatinus (platypus)
Lineage: Eukaryota; Metazoa; Chordata; Mammalia; Monotremata; Ornithorhynchidae
Exons: 5
Source: RefSeq, a predicted model, not a curated record